UACGUAGGGGGCAAGCGUUGUCCGGAUUUAUUGGGCGUAAAGAGCGUGUAGGCGGCCAGAUAGGUCAGCUGUGAAAACUCGAGGCUCAACCUCGAGACGUCGGUUGAAACCAUCUGGCUAGAGUCCGGAAGAGGAGAGUGGAAUUCCCGGUGUAGCGGUGAAAUGCGCAGAUAUCGGGAAGAACACCCGUGGCGAAGGCGGCUCUCUGGGACGGUACUGACGCUGAGGCACGAAAGCGUGGGGAGCAAACAGG
Molecule: ribosomal RNA, 253 nt
Filed under: uncultured bacterium
Lineage: Bacteria
Description: partial 16S ribosomal RNA
Rfam family: Bacterial small subunit ribosomal RNA
Source: RNAcentral